GACGAACGCUGGCGGCGUGCCUAAUACAUGCAAGUUGAGCGCUGAAGGUUGGUACUUGUACCAACUGGAUGAGCAGCGAACGGGUGAGUAACGCGUGGGGAAUCUGCCUUUGAGCGGGGGACAACAUUUGGAAACGAAUGCUAAUACCGCAUAAAAACUUUAAACACAAGUUUUAAGUUUGAAAGAUGCAAUUGCAUCACUCAAAGAUGAUCCCGCGUUGUAUUAGCUAGUUGGUGGGGUAAAGGCUCACCAAGGCGAUGAUACAUAGCCGACCUGAGAGGGUGAUCGGCCACAUUGGGACUGAGACACGGCCCAAACUCCUACGGGAGGCAGCAGUAGGGAAUCUUCGGCAAUGGACGAAAGUCUGACCGAGCAACGCCGCGUGAGUGAAGAAGGUUUUCGGAUCGUAAAACUCUGUUGGUAGAGAAGAACGUUGGUGAGAGUGGAAAGCUCAUCAAGUGACGGUAACUACCCAGAAAGGGGCGGCUAACUACGU
RNAcentral lists this ribosomal RNA (496 nucleotides) under uncultured bacterium. RNAcentral describes it as "partial 16S ribosomal RNA". It matches the Rfam family "Bacterial small subunit ribosomal RNA", at positions 28 to 506 of the family's 1533-position model. The record is from RNAcentral.